UUGAACGCUGGCGGCAUGCUUUACACAUGCAAGUCGAACGGCAGCGGGGGCUUCGGCCUGCCGGCGAGUGGCGAACGGGUGAGUAAUGCAUCGGAACGUACCCAGUCGUGGGGGAUAACUACGCGAAAGCGUAGCUAAUAGCGCAUACGUCCUGAGGGAGAAAGCGGGGGAUCUUCGGACCUCGCGCGAUUGGAGCGGCCGAUGUCGGAUUAGCUAGUCGGUGAGGUAAAGGCUCACCUAGGCGACGAUCCGUAGCGGGUCUGAGAGGAGGAGCAGCCACACUGGGACUGAGACACGGCCCAGACGCCUACGGGAGGCAGCAGUGGGGAAUUUUGGACAAUGGGCGCAAGCCUGAUCCAGCCAUGCCGCGUGAGUGAAGAAGGCCUUCGGGUUGUAAAGCUCUUUCGGCCGGGAAGAAAUCGUGGUCUCUAACAUAGGCCAGGGAUGACGGUACCGGACUAAGAAGCACCGGCUAACUACGU
RNAcentral lists this ribosomal RNA (482 nucleotides) under uncultured bacterium. RNAcentral describes it as "bacterial SSU rRNA". It matches the Rfam family "Bacterial small subunit ribosomal RNA", at positions 29 to 506 of the family's 1533-position model. The record is from RNAcentral.